This 1697-nucleotide ribosomal RNA is filed under the name Hapalogenys analis (broadbanded velvetchin). RNAcentral describes it as "16S ribosomal RNA". It matches the Rfam family "Bacterial large subunit ribosomal RNA". Lineage: Eukaryota; Metazoa; Chordata; Actinopteri; Lobotiformes; Hapalogenyidae. The record is from RNAcentral.
UGCCUAAUAGCUAGCCCCCUACCUGAAACCAACAUAACAUCAUAAAUACCCCCAAAUUACCGUAACACCACAAAACAAACCAUUUUUCCACCUUAGUAUGGGAGACAGAAAAGGACUCACGGAGCAAUAGAAAAAGUACCGCAAGGGAACGCUGAAAGAGAAAUGAAAUAAAUCAAUAAUGCACAAAAAAGCAGAGACUCCCCCUCGUACCUUUUGCAUCAUGACUUAGCUAGUUAAACUCAAGCAAAGAGGACUUUAGUUUGAAACCCCGAAACUAGAUGAGCUACUCCAAGACAGCCUAUAAAUUAGGGCGAACCCGUCUCUGUGGCAAAAGAGUGGGAAGAUCUUCGAGUAGAGGUGAUAAGCCUACCGAAUCUAGUUAUAGCUGGUUGCCCGGGAAUUGGACAGAAGUUCAGCCUCCCAGAUUCUCUACUCCAACAAUGGCUCAGACCCUGAGAAGUUGGGAGAGUUAGUCAAAGGGGGCACAGCCCCUUUGACACAAGACACAACUUUCACAGGUGGAUAAAGAUCAAAAUUAACAAAGAUAAAACACUCAAGUUGGCCUAAAAGCAGCCACCAUUAUAGAAAGCGUUAAAGCUCGAAUAUGCGUAUAUUCUGAUUAUCCUGAUAACCCCAUCCUAAUCCCCUGAACCCUACCAGGCCCCCCAUGCCCCCAUAGAAGUGACUAUGCUAAUAUGAGUAAUAAGAGGCAAAAUUGAGCCUCUCCUUGCACAUGUGUAAGUCGGAACGGACCCCCCACCGACCCCUAACGGCCCCAAACAACAGAGGGUAUUGGAUAACAAACUCAACAACUAGAAAACCUCCCAGUAAAACCCCGUUAACCCUACACCGGAGUGCAAAUAAGGAAAGACUAAAAGAAAAAGAAGGAACUCGGCAAACACAUAAAGCCUCGCCUGUUUACCAAAAACAUCGCCUCUUGCAAAAACAACGAAUAAGAGGUCCCGCCUGCCCUGUGACUUUAAGUUUAACGGCCGCGGUAUCCUGACCGUGCAAAGGUAGCGCAAUCACUUGCCUUUUAAAUGAGGGCCUGUAUGAAUGGCACCACGAGGGUUUAACUGUCUCCUUUUUCCAGUCAAUGAAAUUGAUCUCCCCGUGCAGAAGCGGGGAUGAGAACAUAAGACGAGAAGACCCUAUGGAGCUUUAGACACCAAGACGGCCCAUGUUAAACACCCCCAAACAAGGGACUAAACCAGAGGGUGCCCGUCCUAAUGUCUUUGGUUGGGGCGACCGCGGGGAAAUAAAAAACCCCCAUGUGGAAUGCAAGAACUUCCUGCUAAGACAAAGAGCCACCGCUCUAAUCAACAGAAAUUCUGACCAAUCAGAUCCGGCAAGGCCGAUCAACGGACCUAGUUACCCUAGGGAUAACAGCGCAAUCCUCUUUUAGAGCCCAUAUCGACAAGGGGGUUUACGACCUCGAUGUUGGAUCAGGACAUCCUAAUGGUGCAGCCGCUAUUAAGGGUUCGUUUGUUCAACGAUUAAAGUCCUACGUGAUCUGAGUUCAGACCGGAGCAAUCCAGGUCAGUUUCUAUCUAUGACACAUUCUUUUCUAGUACGAAAGGACCGAAAAGAAAAGGCCCCUACUCAAAGCACGCCUUACCCCACCUAAUGAAGACAACUAAAAUAGGUAAAAGGAUUCACCAUAAUUGCUUAAGAAAAAAGCGCGUUAAGACAGCACA